GUUUUAUCAAUUUCUGCAGCACAUAUAUAAAAAUUGGAAUGAUACAGUAAAGAUUAGCAUGGCCCCUGUGCGAGG
This is a small nuclear RNA of Mus spicilegus (steppe mouse), 75 nucleotides long. NCBI's taxonomy places the organism in Eukaryota, Metazoa, Chordata, Mammalia, Rodentia, Muridae. The record is from Ensembl.